CUACGUGCCAGCAGCCGCGGUAAUACGUAGGGUGCGAGCGUUAAUCGGAAUUACUGGGCGUAAAGCGGGCGCAGACGGUUACUUAAGCGGGAUGUGAAAUCCCCGGGCUCAACCCGGGAACUGCGUUCCGAACUGGGUGGCUAGAGUGUGUCAGAGGGGGGUAGAAUUCCACGUGUAGCAGUGAAAUGCGUAGAGAUGUGGAGGAAUACCGAUGGCGAAGGCAGCCCCCUGGGAUAACACUGACGUUCAUGCCCGAAAGCGUGGGUAGCAAAUAGGAUUAGAUACCCUGGUAGUCCACGCCCUAAACGAUGUCGAUUAGCUGUUGGGCAACUUGAUUGCUUGGUAGCGAAGCUAACGCGUGAAAUCGACCGCCUGGGGAGUACGGCCGCAAGGCUGAAACUCAAAGGAAUUGACGGGGACCCGCACAAGCGGUGGAGCAUGUGGUUUAAUUCGACGCAACGCGAGGAACCUUACCAGAUCUUGACAUCCUG
RNAcentral lists this ribosomal RNA (491 nucleotides) under uncultured bacterium. Its description in RNAcentral is "bacterial SSU rRNA". It matches the Rfam family "Bacterial small subunit ribosomal RNA", at positions 501 to 991 of the family's 1533-position model. The record is from RNAcentral.